Non-coding RNA from Peromyscus maniculatus bairdii (prairie deer mouse), 387 nucleotides. NCBI's taxonomy places the organism in Eukaryota, Metazoa, Chordata, Mammalia, Rodentia, Cricetidae. The record is from RefSeq and is a predicted model, not a curated record.
UACUGCUGACGUCUGCUUUCAUGAUCAAGGCUUGAACUGGAGAGCAGUCAGCUGCUCUGCUCCUCCUUAGGUGCUUCCCUAGAGUCACCAAAUAGAACAGCUCUGAGCUACACACAGCUACAAGGCUGAGAAGACUGAUGCAGUUUCCUAGAAACCCUAACAGUGAUUCUGGAAGAGAAACUGGAGUGGCAAUGGCCAAAAAGACCUGCACAGCCACCUGAUAGUUCGUGAGAAGGUGGAGGCUGCCUACUGCAUUGCCAGUGCCACUUGAAUCGCCCAUGAGUCAGGAUGUCCUUCCACCGGCCCCAGCUGAUGGUAAGAAUACAGAAGGUAUUGGAGGAAGAGCCAGACACACCCUCCACACAGCAUGAAUUAAAGAGACAAGAU